UGUAGGUUAAUCCAGAGUAGCCAAUGUCUAGGUUAACAUAUAGCCUAGCCUACUUUUAGGUGAAAUAACCGAUUGCAUGAAAUAAGCCUUUGUGACAUUUGACUUUUUUUUAAAAAUGGGUCUGUACCAGUGAAAAAAAAAUGACGUCCCAAAUUAACAAACAUACCUAAGUGAACAUGACCGAAAAUUAUGUGCCUUUUCCUCUGCAGGCCUAUAGCCUACAUUCAAUAACAUUGCUGACCAGUUGAAUGUAUUCCUUUACAGAUCUUAAUUCUGGAUGGAAUUAUUUGCAGACCUGAGAGACUCAGGACACUUCAGUGGUAGUCACGAAGACCAAUGUGUCCUCAGGUUUUGCUUUAAUGAAGUUGUUCAGAGGGACCUUGACGAAUGUGUGGAACUAUGGAACACUCACAGGAUUCGCCUAUCUCGAACUGCUUCUUGUCCUGGAGGAGUGCCCAAUGAGUUGUUUCACCUACCACACAGAUUUGGCUCCAGAGACUGUGGCUUUGGGGUUGACCUGGAAAAACUGGAUGCAUUUCCAGAAGCAAAUCCAUCUCUGCCUCCAUGUGGUGAUGCAAACAUUCAAGAGUACUUGGAAUAUGUAAUGGAGCACUUCCAAUUACAGCGGCCAGGGAACUGGGAGUCUGCAUCAGAACUAUAUCUACGGCUCAAAGAAAUUAGACAGCUGUAAUUGCACUAUUGACUGUAUACACAGUAAAAAUCAAUUAAACAUAAAUGUUUACAAAACCA
Molecule: long non-coding RNA, 750 nt
Organism: Alosa sapidissima (American shad)
Lineage: Eukaryota; Metazoa; Chordata; Actinopteri; Clupeiformes; Clupeidae
Exons: 2
Source: RefSeq, a predicted model, not a curated record